Oncorhynchus tshawytscha (Chinook salmon) is the source of this 735-nucleotide long non-coding RNA. Lineage: Eukaryota; Metazoa; Chordata; Actinopteri; Salmoniformes; Salmonidae. The record is from Ensembl.
GUUGUCUGGCGCAACCACCUGACAAUCACAACGUAUUAGGUUACCACUUGCGCGAUGUCCACCUGUUAGUUGUCAUGGCGGAAAAAUCAGCGAUGAGGCCUUCUUGCUGCCGGUCUCUGCAUGAUUGAAGAAGGCAAUGAGCUCCAUCGGGUCUUUUUAAAAAUGGCGGAUGGGGAGACAAGCCGUGCUGCAAUCCACUCCCAGUUAGACGGGGUCUGUUCAGGCCUCUGUCAGCUCCACAAUGCCCUGGGGGACAUGAAGGACAUCCAGAACUCUGGCAGAAGUCAGCAAUGACUGGAGGCAAGGCAUCAACACCAUUGAACGUGCAGUAUGUAAAAUAUGCUGGGAUGCAACACAGUCAGCUAACCUCAGCCAUGGAGAACUUGGAAGAAUAUAUUUUCAGAGCCGAAACGGACAUGACUUUUCACUGUGAAAGAGGCUGUAUCUACGUAUUCGGCAACGUCCUUGCACUUUGAAAAACCAAUGAUGUCGAGGUCAGUGAAAGUGAGGGAAGUGAUAUGGAGAAUCAGAGCUCAGCAACAAAAGGCAGUGAGUAAGAGGAGUUACAGAUGAUUGGAGGGAUAGAGAUGUGGAGCGAGGAGUGGAGUGAGAGUAGAGUGGAGGGGGAGAGGAGAGUGUCCUUGGUUUUUGAGCCAUGCAUGUUUGAAAUGUGUGAGAAAAUUAGCUUUAACUUGAAAGUUCUCAGUAAUCUACAGCAGCAUUCUAUAAUUCUAU